UAGAGUAGAGUGUUUAGGUAGCACGGAGAGUUUUGAGCUCUUUAGGUUAGGUUCAAUUCCUAUUAUUCUAG
This 71-nucleotide transfer RNA is filed under the name Phyllomys pattoni (Rusty-sided Atlantic tree-rat). Its description in RNAcentral is "tRNA-Gln". It matches the Rfam family "tRNA". From Rfam's summary of the family: Transfer RNA (tRNA) molecules are approximately 80 nucleotides in length. Their secondary structure includes four short double-helical elements and three loops (D, anti-codon, and T loops). Lineage: Eukaryota; Metazoa; Chordata; Mammalia; Rodentia; Echimyidae. RNAcentral also lists the same sequence under 1 other name. The record is from RNAcentral.